RNAcentral lists this transfer RNA (49 nucleotides) under Noccaea rotundifolia. RNAcentral's name for it is "partial tRNA-Leu". Lineage: Eukaryota; Viridiplantae; Streptophyta; Magnoliopsida; Brassicales; Brassicaceae. The record is from RNAcentral.
AAAUCCGUUGACUUUUUCAAUCGUGAGGGUUCAAGUCCCUCUAUCCCCA